Molecule: ribosomal RNA, 663 nt
Filed under: Escherichia coli
Lineage: Bacteria; Pseudomonadati; Pseudomonadota; Gammaproteobacteria; Enterobacterales; Enterobacteriaceae
Description: partial 23S ribosomal RNA
Rfam family: Bacterial large subunit ribosomal RNA
Source: RNAcentral
CAAGCAGUGGGAGCACGCUUAGGCGUGUGACUGCGUACCUUUUGUAUAAUGGGUCAGCGACUUAUAUUCUGUAGCAAGGUUAACCGAAUAGGGGAGCCGAAGGGAAACCGAGUCUUAACUGGGCGUUAAGUUGCAGGGUAUAGACCCGAAACCCGGUGAUCUAGCCAUGGGCAGGUUGAAGGUUGGGUAACACUAACUGGAGGACCGAACCGACUAAUGUUGAAAAAUUAGCGGAUGACUUGUGGCUGGGGGUGAAAGGCCAAUCAAACCGGGAGAUAGCUGGUUCUCCCCGAAAGCUAUUUAGGUAGCGCCUCGUGAAUUCAUCUCCGGGGGUAGAGCACUGUUUCGGCAAGGGGGUCAUCCCGACUUACCAACCCGAUGCAAACUGCGAAUACCGGAGAAUGUUAUCACGGGAGACACACGGCGGGUGCUAACGUCCGUCGUGAAGAGGGAAACAACCCAGACCGCCAGCUAAGGUCCCAAAGUCAUGGUUAAGUGGGAAACGAUGUGGGAAGGCCCAGACAGCCAGGAUGUUGGCUUAGAAGCAGCCAUCAUUUAAAGAAAGCGUAAUAGCUCACUGGUCGAGUCGGCCUGCGCGGAAGAUGUAACGGGGCUAAACCAUGCACCGAAGCUGCGGCAGCGACGCUGAUGCGUUGUUGGGUA